AUACACUAUUUACAUUCAGUUUUGCAACUCAGGUACAGAUAUUUUUCGCUUGCCUUUCCGAAAAUCUAUUUGAGCUCAAAUUUGGUAGUCAUGCUCGGUUUUACUUAACUUAACGAAAGAAAUUUUAAUCUUUCAGUUUCGACCUUGUUUGGUCACCGAAAGCCCUACCGAACUGUAAUCUCUAGCAGAUAGCAGUCGGAUUUUAUUUUUCAUUUUUCGGGUGUCAGAAUGGUAUGAAACUUUAAAUCUAGCAUCAUAAAAAUAAUUCUAACAUAUUCUCCAGUUUUCAUAAUUUUCUGACACUGCAUUUUCUGCUAAAAUAUCAGCCCCGUCUCUCAUAGAAAAUUCUAAAUUUUCUGUUUUCAUUCCGAUUUCAGCAUACGUCAUUUCAGACUUACAUUUUGCUUCUAUCAGUCCAAUAAAAUAAUAUCUCACACUAUUUUUAUUUAUUUUUUACUUUUAUAUCAAAAUCCGGUAUGUUACAGAAAAUUUUGAAAUAUUUGCAAGUUGAAAAAUAAGGACGAGAAGGAAGAAGAAAAUUUAGACAGACAAGAAUAAGGAAAAACAUGCUCA
RNAcentral lists this long non-coding RNA (573 nucleotides) under Ananas comosus (pineapple). RNAcentral's name for it is "long non-coding RNA (ACOM_LNC039719)". The record is from RNAcentral. Lineage: Eukaryota; Viridiplantae; Streptophyta; Magnoliopsida; Poales; Bromeliaceae.